This 84-nucleotide transfer RNA is filed under the name Rubrobacter sp. RNAcentral describes it as "tRNA-Leu". It matches the Rfam family "tRNA". Rfam says of the family: Transfer RNA (tRNA) molecules are approximately 80 nucleotides in length. RNAcentral also lists the same sequence under 5 other names. Lineage: Bacteria; Bacillati; Actinomycetota; Rubrobacteria; Rubrobacterales; Rubrobacteraceae. The record is from RNAcentral.
GGGGGCGUGGCGGAAUCGGCAGACGCACCGGACUUAAAAUCCGGGUCCUGAGAAGGAGUGUGGGUUCGAGUCCCACCGCCCCUA